This 496-nucleotide ribosomal RNA is filed under the name uncultured bacterium. RNAcentral describes it as "partial 16S ribosomal RNA". It matches the Rfam family "Bacterial small subunit ribosomal RNA", at positions 29 to 507 of the family's 1533-position model. The record is from RNAcentral.
AUGAACGCUGGCGGCGUGCCUAAUACAUGCAAGUCGAGCGAACAGACGAGGAGCUUGCUCCUCUGACGUUAGCGGCGUACGGGUGAGUAACACGUGGAUAACCUACCUAUAAGACUGGGAUAACUUCGGGAAACCGGAGCUAAUACCGGAUAAUAUAUUGAACCGCAUGGUUCAAUAGUGAAAGACGGUUUUGCUGUCACUUAUAGAUGGAUCCGCGCCGCAUUAGCUAGUUGGUAAGGUAACGGCUUACCAAGGCAACGAUGCGUAGCCGACCUGAGAGGGUGAUCGGCCACACUGGAACUGAGACACGGUCCAGACUCCUACGGGAGGCAGCAGUAGGGAAUCUUCCGCAAUGGGCGAAAGCUUGACGGAGCAACGCCGCGUGAGUGAUGAAGGUCUUCGGAUCGUAAAACUCUGUUAUUAGGGAAGAACAAAUGUGUAAGUAACUAUGCACGUCUUGACGGUACCUAAUCAGAAAGCCACGGCUAACUACGUG